UGGGGAAUAUUGGACAAUGGGGGGAACCCUGAUCCAGCCAUGCCGCGUGUGUGAAGAAGGCCCUCGGGUUGUAAAGCACUUUCAGUGAGGAAGAACGCCUGGUGGUUAAUACCCAUCAGGAAAGACAUCACUCACAGAAGAAGCACCGGCUAACUCCGUGCCAGCAGCCGCGGUAAUACGGAGGGUGCGAGCGUUAAUCGGAAUUACUGGGCGUAAAGCGCGCGUAGGUGGCUUGAUAAGCCGGUUGUGAAAGCCCCGGGCUCAACCUGGGAACGGCAUCCGGAACUGUCAAGCUAGAGUGCAGGAGAGGAAGGUAGAAUUCCCGGUGUAGCGGUGAAAUGCGUAGAGAUCGGGAGGAAUACCAGUGGCGAAGGCGGCCUUCUGGACUGACACUGACACUGAGGUGCGAAAGCGUGGGUAGCAAACAGG
Molecule: ribosomal RNA, 429 nt
Filed under: uncultured bacterium
Lineage: Bacteria
Also listed under: 2 other names
Description: bacterial SSU rRNA
Rfam family: Bacterial small subunit ribosomal RNA
Source: RNAcentral